UGAACAAACGCAGUGUAGUGACCCCCUCCCAUGCUUCCAUAAUGGUUGCUAAUUGCAUAAAGCAUAUACCGAUAGGAAGAUUUGCCAUCCUUGUAGGCCAAAUAUGAGGAUAAAUAUAGAUCGUGAGUUGGGAAGUCAACAUAUGUCUCCAACUUGUUCUUCAGAAACCGGUUGUACGAGAACCUCUUCAGGUGGAUGACCAGAAUCUCCGGCAGUCUCCAAAGAUCCAACUUUUUAGUAGCUUGGCGAUGCUGCUUGCAUGCAGGGCAAUACCUAAUGUUGGAUAUAAGACAAAGAAAGUUAGGCAGAUUAUAUUCAUACCUCCCAAGCGAAUGACACAAAUCAAGAUCAUGAGUUGGGAAGUCAACAUAUGUCUCCAACUUGUUCUUCAGAAACCGGUUGUACGAGAACCUCUUCAGGUGGAUGACCAGAAUCUUCGGCAGCCUCCAAAGAUCCAACUUUUUAGUAGCUUGGCGAUGCUGCUUGCAUGCAGGGCAAUACCUAAUGUUGGAUAUAAGACAAAGAAAGUUAGGCAGAUUAUAUUCAUACCUCCCAAGCGAAUGACACAAAUAAAUGAUU
RNAcentral lists this long non-coding RNA (579 nucleotides) under Nicotiana benthamiana. RNAcentral's name for it is "long non-coding RNA (NBEN_LNC035859)". Lineage: Eukaryota; Viridiplantae; Streptophyta; Magnoliopsida; Solanales; Solanaceae. The record is from RNAcentral.